CCCCGAUCUUAAUUUUGAUAGCUUGCGUUUCUGUGAACGUGGAAGAAAGCUCACAGAAAAGACGCCAUGGAGAGGGCACAUCAAUAUCGUCACCAACACCGAAGCCGAAACUCUUCAUCCUCUCAUUCUUCUUCUUCUUCUUCUUCUCUGAACGAAUCAUCGCGCUCCACCCCACAUAACACAAAUAGCACCAAAUUCUCUCGCUUUAACCCAAACACUAGAAGCAACCAUGGACCUAACAACACAACGGGUCCCCGUGAUGGCCCCGAGUGGAAACCUAGAAGAGGAUCAGGUAGCAGUAGCAAUACCCACCAUCAGAAUUUGAAAACAGGAGC
RNAcentral lists this unclassified non-coding RNA (335 nucleotides) under Hevea brasiliensis (rubber tree). Lineage: Eukaryota; Viridiplantae; Streptophyta; Magnoliopsida; Malpighiales; Euphorbiaceae. The record is from RNAcentral.